GGCCGCGGGAAUUCGAUUCAGGCCUAACACAUGCAAGUCGAACGGCAGCACGGGUGCUUGCACCUGGUGGCGAGUGGCGAACGGGUGAGUAAUAUAUCGGAACGUACCUUAUUGUGGGGGAUAACGCAGCGAAAGCUGUGCUAAUACCGCAUAAUCCCUAAGGGGGAAAGCGGGGGACCGUAAGGCCUCGCGCAAUUAGAGCGGCCGAUACCUGAUUAGCUAGUUGGUGAGGUAAAGGCUCACCAAGGCAACGAUCAGUAGCUGGUCUGAGAGGACGAUCAGCCACACUGGGACUGAGACACGGCCCAGACUCCUACGGGAGGCAGCAGUGGGGAAUAUUGGAAAGUGGGGGCAACCCUGAUCCAGCCAUGCCGC
Molecule: ribosomal RNA, 375 nt
Filed under: uncultured bacterium
Lineage: Bacteria
Description: bacterial SSU rRNA
Rfam family: Bacterial small subunit ribosomal RNA
Source: RNAcentral